RNAcentral lists this transfer RNA (69 nucleotides) under Rhipidura albiscapa. RNAcentral's name for it is "tRNA-Gly". It matches the Rfam family "tRNA". Rfam says of the family: Transfer RNA (tRNA) molecules are approximately 80 nucleotides in length. Lineage: Eukaryota; Metazoa; Chordata; Aves; Passeriformes; Rhipiduridae. The record is from RNAcentral. RNAcentral also lists the same sequence under 2 other names.
ACUCUUCUAGUAUAUUGAUUACAAUUGACUUCCAAUCUCUAGAAUCUGGUUCAACCCCAGAGAAGAGUA